UGUGGUGAUGAUGGCGAGAAGGAUACACCUGUUCCCAUGUCGAACACAGAAGUUAAGCUUCUUAGCGCCGAGAGUAGUUGGGGGAUCGCU
This 90-nucleotide ribosomal RNA is filed under the name Lactiplantibacillus plantarum. Lineage: Bacteria; Bacillati; Bacillota; Bacilli; Lactobacillales; Lactobacillaceae. The record is from RNAcentral.